GAUGAACGCUGGCGGCGUGCCUAAUACAUGCAGGUCGAGCGAACAGACGAGGAGCUUGCUCCUCUGACGUUAGCGGCGGACGGGUGAGCAACACGUGGAUAACCUACCUAUAAGACUGGGAUAACUUCGGGAAACCGGAGCUAAUACCGGAUAAUAUAUUGAACCGCAUGGUUCAAUAGUGAAAGACGGUUUUGCUGUCACUUAUAGAUGGAUCCGCGCCGCAUUAGCUAGUUGGUAAGGUAACGGCUUACCAAGGCAACGAUGCGUAGCCGACCUGAGAGGGUGAUCGGCCACACUGGAACUGAGACACGGUCCAGACUCCUACGGGAGGCAGCAGUAGGGAAUCUUCCGCAAUGGGCGAAAGCCUGACGGAGCAACGCCGCGUGAGUGAUGAAGGUCUUCGGAUCGUAAAACUCUGUUAUUAGGGAAGAACAAAUGUGUAAGUAACUAUGCACGUCUUGACGGUACCUAAUCAGAAAGCCACGGCUAACUACGUG
Molecule: ribosomal RNA, 497 nt
Filed under: uncultured bacterium
Lineage: Bacteria
Description: partial 16S ribosomal RNA
Rfam family: Bacterial small subunit ribosomal RNA
Source: RNAcentral